RNAcentral lists this transfer RNA (74 nucleotides) under Candidatus Omnitrophota bacterium. RNAcentral's name for it is "tRNA-Pro". It matches the Rfam family "tRNA". Rfam says of the family: Transfer RNA (tRNA) molecules are approximately 80 nucleotides in length. Lineage: Bacteria; Pseudomonadati; Candidatus Omnitrophota. The record is from RNAcentral.
CGGGACGUAGCGCAGAUGGCUAGCGCACUUGUAUGGGGUACAAGAGGUCAAGGGUUCAAAUCCCUUCGUCCCGA